RNAcentral lists this unclassified non-coding RNA (401 nucleotides) under soil metagenome. RNAcentral describes it as "partial contains 5.8S ribosomal RNA, internal transcribed spacer 2, and large subunit ribosomal RNA". The stretch from base 1 to 121 matches the Rfam family "5.8S ribosomal RNA", at positions 35 to 154 of the family's 154-position model. The record is from RNAcentral.
GAUGAAGAACGUAGCGAAAUGCGAUAAGUAAUGUGAAUUGCAGAAUUCAGUGAAUCAUCGAAUCUUUGAACGCACCUUGCGCCCUUUGGCUAUUCCGAAGGGCAUGCCUGUUUGAGUAUCGUGAACACCUCAACUCUCAUGGUUUGCCAUGAUGAGCUUGGACUUUGGGGGUUUUGCUGGCCUUUGGUCGGCUCCUCUCAAACGGAUCAGCUUUCCAGUGUUUGGUGGCGUCACGGGUGUGAUAUCUAUCUACGCCUGUGGUUUUCUGCCAGAUAACCUUCAGCGAUGGAGGUUCGCUGGGGCUCAUAAAUGUCUCUCUUCAGUGGAGACAGCUUUUUGGACGUUUGAUCUCAAAUCAGGUAGGACUACCCGCUGAACUUAAGCAUAUCAAUAGCGGAGGA